GGAGGUAACGACGUGAGUAACCUGCCUCUCAGAGGGGGAUAACGUUCUGAAAAGAACGCUAAUACCGCAUAUAAUUAUGAGGUCGCAUGACUUUAUAAUGAAAGGAGCAAUCCGCUGAGAGAUGGACUCGCGUCUGAUUAGCUUGAUGGUGAGGUAACGGCUCACCAUGGCGACGAUCAGUAGCCGGACUGAGAGGUUGAACGGCCACAUUGGGACUGAGACACGGCCCAGACUCCUACGGGAGGCAGCAGUGGGGGAUAUUACGCAAUGGGGGAAACCCUGAACCGUAGCAAUGCCGCGUGAAGGAAGAAGGUUUUCGGAUUGUAAACUUCUUUUGUCAGGGACGAUAAUGACGGUACCUGACGAAUAAGCUCCGGCUAACUAUGUGCCAGCAGCUGC
This 399-nucleotide ribosomal RNA is filed under the name uncultured bacterium. Its description in RNAcentral is "bacterial SSU rRNA". It matches the Rfam family "Bacterial small subunit ribosomal RNA", at positions 100 to 518 of the family's 1533-position model. The record is from RNAcentral.